UACAGAGGCCCCAAGCAUUACCCGGAAUCACUGGGCGUAAAGGAUGUGUAGGCGGUCGUAUUAGUCUUUCGUGAAAGCUCUCGGACUCAAUCCGGGAAACGCGGGGGAAACGGUACGACUUAGAAGAUGCGAGAGGUACAGGGAACUCAUGGUGUAGGGGUGAAAUCCGUUGAUAUCAUGGGGAACACCAAAUGCGAAGGCACUGUACUGGCGCACUCUUGACGCUGAAACAUGAAAGCGUGGGAAUCGAACGGG
Molecule: ribosomal RNA, 255 nt
Filed under: uncultured bacterium
Lineage: Bacteria
Description: partial 16S ribosomal RNA
Rfam family: Bacterial small subunit ribosomal RNA
Source: RNAcentral